This 406-nucleotide ribosomal RNA is filed under the name uncultured bacterium. RNAcentral describes it as "partial 16S ribosomal RNA". It matches the Rfam family "Bacterial small subunit ribosomal RNA", at positions 29 to 526 of the family's 1533-position model. The record is from RNAcentral.
AUUGAACGCUGGCGGCAGGCCUAACACAUGCAAGUCGAACGAGUGGCGGAAGGGGGAGUAAUGUCUGGGAAACUGCCCGAUGGAGGGGGAUAACUACUGGAAACGGUAGCUAAUACCGCAUACCCUCGGAUGUGCCCCGAUGGGAUGAGCUUGUAGGGGAGGUAACGGCUCACAUAGUCGACGAUCCCUAGCUGGUCUGAGAGGAUGACCAGCCACACUGGGACGGAGACACGGGCCAGACUCCUACGGGAGGCAGAAGUGGGGAAUAUUGCACAAGGGGCGCAAGCAUGAUGCAGCCAUGCCGCGUGUAUGAAGAAGGCCUUCGGGUUGUAAAGUACUUUCAGCGGGGAGGCGUUACCCGCAGAAGAAGCACAGGCUAACUCCGUGCCAGCAGCCGCGGUAAUUC